ACUCCUACGGGGAGGCAGCAGGUGGGAAUAUUGCACGAAUCGGGGAAACCCUGAUGCAGCCAUGCCGCGUGUGUGAAGAAGGCCUUCGGGUUGUAAAGCACUUUCAGUAGGGAGGAAGGUAGUGUAGUUAACACCUGCACUAUUUGACGUUACCUACAGAAGAAGCACCGGCUAACUCCGUGCCAGCAGCCGCGGUAAUACGGAGGGUGCGAGCGUUAAUCGGAAUUACUGGGCGUAAAGCGUGCGCAGGCGGUUUGUUAAGCGAGAUGUGAAAGCCCCGGGCUCAACCUGGGAAUUGCAUUUCGAACUCGCAAGCUAGAGUCUUGUAGAGGGGGGUAGAAUUUCAGGUGUAGCGGUGAAAUGCGUAGAGAUCUGAAGGAAUACCGGUGGCGAAGGCGGCCCCCUGGCACAAAAGACUGACGCUCAUGCACGAAAGCGUGGGGAGCAAACAGGAUUAGAUACCCUGGUAGCGAGUAG
Molecule: ribosomal RNA, 477 nt
Filed under: uncultured bacterium
Lineage: Bacteria
Description: bacterial SSU rRNA
Rfam family: Bacterial small subunit ribosomal RNA
Source: RNAcentral